UGAUGGAUUUAUAAAGUCUAGCCUGCCCACUGAGUUUUUAAAGGGCCGCGGUAAUUUGACCGUGCGAAGGUAGCAUAGUAAGUAGUCUUUUAAUUGAAGACUUGAAUGAAUGGUUGGAUGAGAGGUAAGCUGUCUUUUAACAAUUUAUAAAAUUUAACUUUUAAGUGAAAAGGCUUAAAUUAAUUAAGGGGACGAUAAGACCCUAUAAAACUUUACACGAAAUGCUGAAGUUUAUAGAUUGUGUGUGAUAUAAUUUUAGUAUUUUUUGUUUUGUUGGGGCGACAUGGAUAAAGAGUAACUGUCUAUUAAAAUUUAAUAAUAAUGAUUAGUUUGUGAUCCUUUAUUAGGGAUUAGAAGAAUAAGUUACUUUAGGGAUAACAGCGUGAUUUUUCCUGAGAGUUCUUAUCGACGGAAGUAGUUGCGACCUCGAUGUUGAAUUAAAAUUUCGGUUAGGUGUAGCCGCUUAAUUAGUGGGUCUGUUCGACCUUUAAAAUUUUACAUGAUUUGAGUUCAAACCGGUGUGAGCCA
This 528-nucleotide ribosomal RNA is filed under the name Palaemon pandaliformis. RNAcentral's name for it is "partial 16S ribosomal RNA". It matches the Rfam family "Bacterial large subunit ribosomal RNA", at positions 1835 to 2628 of the family's 2925-position model. The record is from RNAcentral. Lineage: Eukaryota; Metazoa; Arthropoda; Malacostraca; Decapoda; Palaemonidae.